GCGUCCGUAACUCAGUUGGUUAGAGCACCACCUUGACAUGGUGGGGGUCGGUGGUUCGAGUCCACUCGGACGCACCA
RNAcentral lists this transfer RNA (77 nucleotides) under Escherichia coli. Its description in RNAcentral is "tRNA-Val". It matches the Rfam family "tRNA". From Rfam's summary of the family: Transfer RNA (tRNA) molecules are approximately 80 nucleotides in length. Their secondary structure includes four short double-helical elements and three loops (D, anti-codon, and T loops). Lineage: Bacteria; Pseudomonadati; Pseudomonadota; Gammaproteobacteria; Enterobacterales; Enterobacteriaceae. The record is from RNAcentral.